RNAcentral lists this long non-coding RNA (2822 nucleotides) under Coturnix japonica (Japanese quail). RNAcentral's name for it is "lncRNA (ENSCJPG00005020638.1)". The record is from RNAcentral. Lineage: Eukaryota; Metazoa; Chordata; Aves; Galliformes; Phasianidae.
AUGAGCUGCACUUGUGGGGCAGGAAUUGGCACUUGUGGGGCAGGAGGGUGGCACUUGUUGGGUGGGAGGUGGAUGAUGUGGGGCAGGAGGUGGCACUUGUGGAGCAGGAUGUGGAAGUUGCGUGGCAGGAUUUGGCACUUGUGGGGUGGGAGGUGGAACUUGUGGGGCAUGAGGUGGAAUUUGUGGGGUGGUAGGUUGCACUUGUGGGGCAGGAGUGGCACUUGUGGGGAGGGAUGUGGCACUUGUGGGGGCCAGGAGUUGGCACUUGUGGGGCUGGAGGUGGCACUUGUGGGGCAGGAGGUGGAUGAUGUGGGGCAGGAGUUGGCACUUGUGGAGCAGGAGGUAAAAGUUGCGGGGCAGGAUUUGGCACUUGUGGGGCAGGAUGUGGCACACGUUGGGCAGGAGUUGGCACUUGUAUGGCGGGAUGUUGAAGUUGUGGGGCGGGAGGUGGCAUUUGUGGGGCUGGAACUGGCUCUUGUGGGCCGUGAGGUGGAAGUUGUGGGGCAGGAAAUGGCACUUGUGGGGGGUCAGGAGGUGGCACUUGUUGGGCAGGAGGUGGAACUUAUGGGGUGUGACGUGGAAGUUGUGGGGCGGGAGGUGGCACCUGUGGAAAUGGAGAUGGCACUAGUGGGGCAGGUAGUGGCACUUGUGGGGCGGGAUAUGGAACUUAUGGGGCAGGAGUUGACACUUUUGGGGGCAGGAGGUGGAAGUUGUGGGGCUGGACGUGGCACUUGUGGGGCGGGAGUUGGCAAUUUUGGGGGAGGGUGGUGGCACUUGUUGGGCAGGAGGUGGCACUUGUGGGGCAGGAGGUGGCACUUGUGGGGCAGGAGGUGGUACUUGUGGGGCGGGAGGUGGCACUUGUGGGGCAGGAGGUGGUACAUGUGGGGCGUUACGGUGGGAAAAAAAGGAAAAGUUUGUGGGGCGGGAGGUGGCUGCUUUUGAGUGGGGGGCCAGGAGGUGGAAGCUUGUUGAGCGGUCAGUUAGGUAGAUGGAAGUUGUGGGGCGGGAGGUGGCACUUGUGGGUCGGGAGGUGGCACUACUGGGGCAGGAGGUGGAAGUUGUGGAGUGGGAGGUGAAGUUGUGGGGCAGGAGGUUGCACUUGUGUGUCAGGAGGAGGAAGUUGGGCGGUCAGUGACACUUGUGGGGCAGGAGGUGGAUUAUUUGGGGGGGAGGUGGCAGUGGUGUGGCAAAAUGUGGCACUUGUGGGGCAGGAGCUGGCACUUCAGGGGAAUGAGCUGGCACUUGUAGGGCAGGAAUUGGCACUUGUAAGGCAGGAGGUGGAACUUGUGGGGCGGGAUGUGGCACUUGUGGGGUGGGAGGUGGCACUUGUGGGGCAGGAGGUGGCACUUGUGGGGCAGGAGGAGGCUGUUGUUGGGCGGGAGGUGGGACUUGUGUAACAAGAGGUGGAAAUUGUGCGGUGGGAUGUGGCACUUGUGGGGCAGGGGGUGGCACUUGUGGGGCGGGAUGUGGCAGUUGUGGGGCAGAUGAUGACACCUGUGGGGCGGGAGGUGGAUGUUUUGGGGAAGGAGGUUGAAGUUGUGGGGGAGGGGUUGGCACUUGUGGGGCAGGAAAUGUUACUUGUGGGGCAAGAAGUGGCUCUUGAAGGGCAGGAGGUGGCACUUGUGGGGCAGGAGUUAAUUCUUGUGGAUCUGGAGGUGGCACUUGUGGGCUGGAGGUUGCACUUGUGAGGCGGGAGGUGGAAGUUGUGGGGCGGGUGGUGGCAGUUGUGGGGCUGGAGGUAUCACUUGUGCGGGCAGGAAGUGGCACUGCGAGUGUGGGGGAAGAGGGUGAGCACUUGAGGGGUGCAUAGGAGGCUGGGCACUUGUGGGCAGAAGUUGGUACAUGUGGGGCGGGAGGUGGCACUUGUGGGCAGGAGGUGGCACUUGUGGUGCGGGAGGUGGAACUUGUGGGGCGGGAGGGUGGAACUUGUGGGUCAGGAGUUGGAUUUGUGGGGCGGGUUGUGGCACUUUGGGGCGGGUUGUGGCACUUGUGGGGCGGGAGGUGGCACUUGUGGGGCGUGAGGUGGAAGUUGUGGGGCGGCAGGUGGCAAUUGUGGGUCAGGAGGAGGCAUUUGUGAGGCAGGAGGUGGAUGAUGUGGGGCAGGAGGUGGCACUUGUGAGGGAAGAGGUACUUGUGGGGCAGGAAGUGGCACUUGUGGGGCAGGAGGAGGCACUUGUGGGCAGGGAGGAGGCACUUGUGGGGCAGAAGGUGGCACUUGUGGGGCAGGAGUUGGCACUUGUGGGGCUGGAAGUGGCACUUGUGGGGCUGGAGGUGGCACUUGUGGAAUUGGAGUUGGCACUAGUGGGGCAGAAGGUGGAAGUUGUGGGGAAGUAUUUGGCACUUGUGGGGCAAGAGGUGGAACUUGUGGAGCAGGAGGUGCAUUUGUGGAGGGAGGCUAUGAGUUGACAGCUUGUGGGGGGGGCAGAGAGGUGGCAAGCUUGUUGGGGGCAGUGAGGUUGGCAGGCUUGUGGGGCAGGAGUUGGCACUUGUGGGGCAGGAGGUGGUCCUUGUGGGACGAGAGGUGGCACUUGUUGGGCAGGAGGUGGAACUUAUGGGGCGUUACGUGGAAGUUGUGGGGGCGGGAGGUGGCUCUUUUGAGGGCAGGGAGGUGGAACUUGUGAGCCAGGAGAGCUGAGAAGGUUNNNNNNNNNNNNNNNNNNNNNNNNNUUUCCUUCCUUUCCUUCCUUUCCUUCCUUUCCUUCCUUUCCUUCCUUUCCUUCCUUUCCUUCCUUUCCUUCCUUUCCUUCCUUUCCUUCCUUCCUUCCUUUCCUUCCUUCCUUCCUUCCUUCUUUUUUUAUAAUAAAAGAAACCAACUAUAUCCA